UACGGAGGGUGCAAGCGUUAUCCGGAUUUACUGGGUUUAAAGGGUGCGCAGGUGGAUAUGUAAGUCAGUGGUGAAAUCUCCGAGCUUAACUCGGAAACUGCCGUUGAUACUAUAUAUCUUGAAUCUUCUGGAGGUAAGCGGAAUAUGUCAUGUAGCGGUGAAAUGCUUAGAUAUGACAUAGAACACCAAUUGCGAAGGCAGCUUACUACGGGAGCAUUGACACUCAGGCACGAAAGCGUGGGGAGCAAACAGG
RNAcentral lists this ribosomal RNA (253 nucleotides) under uncultured bacterium. RNAcentral describes it as "partial 16S ribosomal RNA". It matches the Rfam family "Bacterial small subunit ribosomal RNA", at positions 524 to 776 of the family's 1533-position model. The record is from RNAcentral.